Non-coding RNA from Candidatus Roizmanbacteria bacterium, 237 nucleotides. NCBI's taxonomy places the organism in Bacteria, Candidatus Roizmaniibacteriota. The record is from Rfam.
AAAAGAGCUUUGCGCAGAGUUUUCGUAGUAAUACGAAAUAAGGAAAAUCUCACUAUAUGCUGGAAAACCUAUUUAUGUCCGCUAAUUUUUUUGAUAUUAUGAUAUCAAGACAUGUAAAUAGAUAAUCAGCAGGCAACCCCGAUGUUUCAUUGGGGGCGCCUCAGAGACUACACGUGAGACCCCUAAAUCAUAUCAGUUUAGGGUGAUGAUAUAGUCCAGUUAAAUCGUAUGAACGAA